This 423-nucleotide ribosomal RNA is filed under the name Triticum aestivum (bread wheat). RNAcentral describes it as "partial small subunit ribosomal RNA". The record is from RNAcentral. Lineage: Eukaryota; Viridiplantae; Streptophyta; Magnoliopsida; Poales; Poaceae.
AUGAAUAUUGCCCUCCUUUCCAAAUGGCUCUGGCGCAUCUAGACCGGCAAGGGUGGAUUGUGGCUGGAGAUUAUCCGUGCAAAAUACCUACGCGGGCAGCCUCUGGCGUUCGCCUCUAGAUUGGGAGGGUCCCAAUUCUAGCAGUCGGUGAUCCAACUGAUGUCGGUCCUACGUAUUAGGACCUCCAUCAAGGUGGGCACCGGCAGUGGGACUCUCUUCUGGCUGGACAGAUGGUCCGGCUCUAGACCUUUUGCGGAGCGGUUCUACGCUCUAUUUUCUAUAUGUGCUCGCCCACAACUUACGGUGGACGCGGUGUUGGCAGACGUUAGCACCAUUGCCUUCCGCCGUACCUUUGGGGGGCGGCGGAACAUGCCCAAUGGGAGGAGUUGCUUGAGUGCAUUGCCUUGCACCCUCCCUCCCUAG